RNAcentral lists this ribosomal RNA (504 nucleotides) under uncultured bacterium. RNAcentral's name for it is "partial 16S ribosomal RNA". It matches the Rfam family "Bacterial small subunit ribosomal RNA", at positions 30 to 523 of the family's 1533-position model. The record is from RNAcentral.
AUUGAACGCUGGCGGCAGGCCUAACACAUGCAAGUCGGACGGUAGCACAGAGAGCUUGCUCUCGGGUGACGUGUGGCGGACGGGUGAGUGAUGUCUGGGGAUCUGCCCGAUAGAGGGGGAUAACCACUGGAAACGGUGGCUAAUACCGCAUAACGUCGCAAGACCAAAGAGGGGGACCUUCGGGCCUCUCACUAUCGGAUGAACCCAGAUGGGAUUAGCUAGUAGGCGGGGUAAUGGCCCACCUAGGCGACGAUCCCUAGCUGGUCUGAGAGGAUGACCAGCCACACUGGAACUGAGACACGGUCCAGACUCCUACGGGAGGCAGCAGUGGGGAAUAUUGCACAAUGGGCGCAAGCCUGAUGCAGCCAUGCCGCGUGUAUGAAGAAGGCCUUCGGGUUGUAAAGUACUUUCAGUGGGGAGGAAGGCGAUGUGGUUAAUAACCGCGUCGAUUGACGUUACCCGCAGAAGAAGCACCGGCUAACUCCGUGCCAGCAGCCGCAGUAA